This 21-nucleotide non-coding RNA is filed under the name Caenorhabditis elegans. The record is from RNAcentral. Lineage: Eukaryota; Metazoa; Nematoda; Chromadorea; Rhabditida; Rhabditidae.
UUAUGUCUUGUUAUUCUUUAG